GCUGUAGCUUAGUGGUAAAGUAUCUGAUCUGCAUGCAGAAGGUGCCAGGUUCAACCCCUGCCAUCUCCA
This is a non-coding RNA of Podarcis lilfordi (Lilford's wall lizard), 69 nucleotides long. The record is from the annotation of a GenBank genome assembly. NCBI's taxonomy places the organism in Eukaryota, Metazoa, Chordata, Lepidosauria, Squamata, Lacertidae.